AUUGAACGCUGGCGGCAUGCCUUACACAUGCAAGUCGAACGGCAGCACGGGUGCUUGCCCCUGGUGGCGAGUGGCGAACGGGUGAGUAAUACAUCGGAACAUGUCCUGUAGCGGGGGAUAGCCCGGCGAAAGCCGGAUUAAUACCGCAUACGAUCUACGGAUGAAAGCGGGGGACCUUCGGGCCUCGCGCUAUAGGGUUGGCCGAUGGCUGAUUAGCUAGUUGGUGGGGUAAAGGCCUACCAAGGCGACGAUCAGUAGCUGGUCUGAGAGGACGACCAGCCACACUGGGACUGAGACAAGGCCCAGACUCCUACGGGAGGCAGCAGUGGGGAAUUUUGGACAAUGGGCGAAAGCCUGAUCCAGCAAUGCCGCGUGUGUGAAGAAGGCCUUCGGGUUGUAAAGCACUUUUGUCCGGAAAGAAAUCCUUGGCCCUAAUACGGUCGGGGGAUGACGGUACCGGAAGAAUAAGCACCGGCUAACUACGUG
Molecule: ribosomal RNA, 486 nt
Filed under: uncultured bacterium
Lineage: Bacteria
Description: partial 16S ribosomal RNA
Rfam family: Bacterial small subunit ribosomal RNA
Source: RNAcentral